GGGUGAUUAGCUCAGCUGGGAGAGCAGCUGCCUUAUCAGCGGGUCGGCGGUUCGAUCCCGUCAUCACCCACCA
RNAcentral lists this transfer RNA (73 nucleotides) under Pseudomonas syringae pv. actinidiae ICMP 19095. RNAcentral describes it as "tRNA-OTHER". It matches the Rfam family "tRNA". From Rfam's summary of the family: Transfer RNA (tRNA) molecules are approximately 80 nucleotides in length. Lineage: Bacteria; Pseudomonadati; Pseudomonadota; Gammaproteobacteria; Pseudomonadales; Pseudomonadaceae. The record is from RNAcentral.